AUACGGAGGAUCCGAGCGUUAUCCGGAUUUAUUGGGUUUAAAGGGAGCGUAGGCGGGAGAUCAAGUCAGCUGUGAAAUGUAGAUGCUCAACAUCUGCACUGCAGUUGAAACUGGUUUUCUUGAGUGCGUAAGGGGCAGGCGGAAUUCGUCGUGUAGCGGUGAAAUGCUUAGAUAUGACGAAGAACUCCGAUCGCGAAGGCAGCCUGCCGUGCCGCGACUGACGCUGAAGCUCGAAGGUGCGGGUAUCGAACAGGAUUAGAUACCCUGGUAGUCCGCACAGUAAACGAUGGAUACUCGCUGUCGGCGAUAUACGGUCGGUGGCCAAGCGAAAGCGUUAAGUAUCCCACCUGGGGAGUACGCCGGCAACGGUGAAACUCAAAUGAAUUGACGGGG
This 393-nucleotide ribosomal RNA is filed under the name uncultured bacterium. Its description in RNAcentral is "partial 16S ribosomal RNA". It matches the Rfam family "Bacterial small subunit ribosomal RNA", at positions 523 to 918 of the family's 1533-position model. The record is from RNAcentral.